AAAACAUCGCCUCUUGCAAAAUCAACAAAUAAGAGGUCCCGCCUGCCCUGUGACUAUAUGUUUAACGGCCGCGGUAUUUUGACCGUGCGAAGGUAGCGCAAUCACUUGUCUUUUAAAUGGAGACCUGUAUGAAUGGCACGACGAGGGCUUAACUGUCUCCUUUCCUAAGUCAAUGAAAUUGAUCUCUCCGUGCAGAAGCGGGGAUGAACCCAUAAGACGAGAAGACCCUAUGGAGCUUUAGACACUAAAACAGCUCAUGUUAAAAACCCUCAUACAAGAGACUAAACUAGAUGACCCCUGUCCUAAUGUCUUUGGUUGGGGCGACCACGGGGCAACAAAAAACCCCCGCGCGGAACAGAAACACUGUUUCCAGAACCAAGAGCACCCGCUCUAAGUAACAAGACCUACUUGACCUUUGAGAUCCGGCAUUGGCCGAUCAACGGACCGAGUUACCCUAGGGAUAACAGCGCAAUCUUCUUCGAGAGUCAUAUCGACGAGAGGGUUUACGACCUCGAUGUUGGAUCAGGACAUCCUAAUGGUGCUGCCGCUAUUAAGGGUUCGUUUGUUCAACGAUUAAAGUCCUA
Molecule: ribosomal RNA, 584 nt
Filed under: Scarus festivus (festive parrotfish)
Lineage: Eukaryota; Metazoa; Chordata; Actinopteri; Labriformes; Labridae
Description: partial 16S ribosomal RNA
Rfam family: Bacterial large subunit ribosomal RNA
Source: RNAcentral